Molecule: ribosomal RNA, 380 nt
Filed under: uncultured bacterium
Lineage: Bacteria
Description: bacterial SSU rRNA
Rfam family: Bacterial small subunit ribosomal RNA
Source: RNAcentral
AUUGAACGCUGGCGGCAUGCCUUACACAUGCAAGUCGAACGGCAGCACGGGAGCAAUCCUGGUGGCGAGUGGCGAACGGGUGAGUAAUAUAUCGGAACGUGCCCAGUCGUGGGGAUAACGUAGCGAAAGCUACGCUAAUACCGCAUACGAUCUAUGGAUGAAAGCGGGGGAUCGCAAGACCUCGCGCGAUUGGAGCGGCCGAUAUCAGAUUAGGUAGUUGGUGAGGUAAAGGCUCGCCAAGCCGACGAUCUGUAGCUGGUCUGAGAGGACGACCAGCCACACUGGGACUGAGACACGGCCCAGACUCCUACGGAGGCAGCAGUGGGGAAUUUUGGACAAUGGGCGCAAGCCUGAUCCAGCAAUGCCGCGUGCAGGAUGAA